This 560-nucleotide ribosomal RNA is filed under the name Bacillus pumilus. RNAcentral's name for it is "bacterial SSU rRNA". It matches the Rfam family "Bacterial small subunit ribosomal RNA", at positions 452 to 1009 of the family's 1533-position model. The record is from RNAcentral. Lineage: Bacteria; Bacillati; Bacillota; Bacilli; Caryophanales; Bacillaceae.
AGAGUAACUGCUCGCACCUUGACGGUACCUAACCAGAAAGCCACGGCUAACUACGUGCCAGCAGCCGCGGUAAUACGUAGGUGGCAAGCGUUGUCCGGAAUUAUUGGGCGUAAAGGGCUCGCAGGCGGUUUCUUAAGUCUGAUGUGAAAGCCCCCGGCUCAACCGGGGAGGGUCAUUGGAAACUGGGAAACUUGAGUGCAGAAGAGGAGAGUGGAAUUCCACGUGUAGCGGUGAAAUGCGUAGAGAUGUGGAGGAACACCAGUGGCGAAGGCGACUCUCUGGUCUGUAACUGACGCUGAGGAGCGAAAGCGUGGGGAGCGAACAGGAUUAGAUACCCUGGUAGUCCACGCCGUAAACGAUGAGUGCUAAGUGUUAGGGGGUUUCCGCCCCUUAGUGCUGCAGCUAACGCAUUAAGCACUCCGCCUGGGGAGUACGGUCGCAAGACUGAAACUCAAAGGAAUUGACGGGGGCCCGCACAAGCGGUGGAGCAUGUGGUUUAAUUCGAAGCAACGCGAAGAACCUUACCAGGUCUUGACAUCCUCUGACAACCCUAGAGAUAG